This 91-nucleotide ribosomal RNA is filed under the name Escherichia coli. Its description in RNAcentral is "partial 16S ribosomal RNA". It matches the Rfam family "Bacterial small subunit ribosomal RNA", at positions 1 to 85 of the family's 1533-position model. The record is from RNAcentral. Lineage: Bacteria; Pseudomonadati; Pseudomonadota; Gammaproteobacteria; Enterobacterales; Enterobacteriaceae.
UUAAAUUGAAGAGUUUGAUCAUGGCUCAGAUUGAAUGCUGGCGGCAGGCCUAACACAUGCAAGUCGAACGGUAACAGGAAACAGCUUGCUG